UACGAACUGCGCGAACGUUAUUCGGAAUCACUGGGCUUACAGGGUGCGUAGGCGGCCGGUCAGGUCCGAUGUGAAAUCCCCCAGCUCAACUGGGGAAUGGCAUUGGAAACCGAUCGGCUUGAGUGAGCUAGAGGUGCACGGAACUUCCGGUGGAGCGGUGAAAUGUGUUGAUAUCGGAAGGAACACCAGAGGCGAAGGCGGUGCACUGGGGCUUGUCUGACGCUGAGGCACGAAAGCCAGGGGAGCGAACGGG
RNAcentral lists this ribosomal RNA (253 nucleotides) under uncultured prokaryote. RNAcentral describes it as "partial 16S ribosomal RNA". It matches the Rfam family "Bacterial small subunit ribosomal RNA", at positions 524 to 776 of the family's 1533-position model. The record is from RNAcentral.